AUGGCUCAGAACGAACGCUGCGGCAGGCUUAACACAUGCAAGUUGAACGGGAUUAUUGAGUAGCUUGCUAUUUGAUAUGAGAGUGGCGCACGGGUGAGUAAUACGUGGGAACGUACCUAGUAGUUCGGAACAACUGAUGGAAACGUCAGCUAAUACCGGAUAAGCCCUAAGGGGGAAAGAUUAAUCGCUAUUAGAACGGCCCGCGGCAGAUUAGGCAGUUGGUGGGGUAAAGGCCUACCAAACCUACGAUCUGUAGCUGGUCUGAGAGGACGAUCAGCCACAUUGGGACUGAGACACGGCCCAGACUCCUACGGGAGGCAGCAGUGAGGAAUAUUGGGCAAUGGGGGAAACCCUGACCCAAGCCAUGCCGCGUGAGUGAAGAAGGUUUUCGGAUUGUAAAGCUCUUUCGGGAGAGAAGAUGAUGACGGUAUCUCCAGAAGAAGCCCCGGCAAACUUCGUGCCAGCAGCGGC
Molecule: ribosomal RNA, 471 nt
Filed under: uncultured bacterium
Lineage: Bacteria
Description: bacterial SSU rRNA
Rfam family: Bacterial small subunit ribosomal RNA
Source: RNAcentral